GCCAUCCGCGUGAGUGAAGAAGGCCUUCGGGUUGUAAAGCUCUUUCGCAAGGGAAGAAAACUUAUGAUCGAAUAAAUCAUGAGGUUGACGGUACCUUGAUAAGAAGCACCGGCUAACUACGUGCCAGCAGCCGCGGUAAUACGUAGGGUGCGAGCGUUAAUCGGAAUUACUGGGCGUAAAGCGUGCGCAGGCGGUUUUGUAAGUCGGAUGUGAAAUCCCCGGGCUCAACCUGGGAACUGCGUUCGAAACUGCAAGGCUAGAGUGUGUCAGAGGGGGGUAGAAUUCCACGUGUAGCAGUGAAAUGCGUAGAGAUGUGGAGGAAUACCAAUGGCGAAGGCAGCCCCCUGGGAUAACACUGACGCUCAUGCACGAAAGCGUGGGGAGCAAACAGGAUUAGAUACCCUGGUAGUCCACGCCCUAAACGAUGUCAACUAGUUGUUGGUAGAGUAA
RNAcentral lists this ribosomal RNA (450 nucleotides) under beta proteobacterium wo51. RNAcentral's name for it is "bacterial SSU rRNA". It matches the Rfam family "Bacterial small subunit ribosomal RNA", at positions 391 to 834 of the family's 1533-position model. Lineage: Bacteria; Pseudomonadati; Pseudomonadota; Betaproteobacteria. The record is from RNAcentral.